AUCGAACUGGACUGAUCACCCUUCGGGGUGAGAGGACCAGUGACGGAGCGGCGGACUGGUGAGUAACGCGUAGCCAACCUACCCCCUUGACGGAGAUAACUACCUGAAAGGGUAGCUAAUACCCGAUAUUGCUCGAGAUCGAAAGAUCUUGAGCCAAAGGCGGUCUUGCCGUCGCAAGAGGAGGGGGCUGCGUCCCAUUAGCUUGUUGGUGGGGUAAUGGCCCACCAAGGCGAUGAUGGGUAGCUGGUCUGAGAGGAUGGCCAGCCACAUUGGGACUGAGAUACGGCCCAGACUCCUACGGGAGGCAGCAGUGGGGAAUCUUUCGCAAUGGGCGAAAGCCUGACGGAGCGACACCGCGUGGGGGAUGAAGGCUUUCGGGUUGUAAACCUCUUUUCUGGGGGAAGAAUAAGGGCGGGAGGAAAUGCCCGUCCGAUGACGGUACCCCAGGAAUAAGCAUCGGCUAACUUCGUGCCAGCAGCCGCGGUAAGACGAAGGAUGCAAGCGUUAUCCGGAAUUACUGGGCGUAAAGGGCGUUUAGGCGGCUGAGUAAGUCACCCGUGAAAGCCCUCAGCUCAACUGAGGAAUGUCGAGUGAAACUGCUCAGCUUGGGUGCAGGAGAGGAGGGUGGAACCCACAGAGUAGCGGUGGAAUGCGUAGAUACUGUGAGGUACCCCGAUGGCGAAGGCAACCCUCUGGCCUGCUACCGACGCUGAAGCGCGAAAGCGUGGGGAGCAAAGGGGAUUAGAUACCCCCGUAGUCCACGCCGCAAACGAUGUUCACUGGGUGUUGGUCGCUAAUAC
RNAcentral lists this ribosomal RNA (800 nucleotides) under uncultured bacterium. RNAcentral's name for it is "bacterial SSU rRNA". It matches the Rfam family "Bacterial small subunit ribosomal RNA", at positions 61 to 836 of the family's 1533-position model. The record is from RNAcentral.